CUGAGCUGCUCUGCAGUCCAGAGCAUGGGGAGUCUGGGAGGAAGUCUGGUGAUGAAGAGGGGCAGGAAAACAGAGACGUGACCAACUAGAGGAGGCUCCUCAGAGGCUGCUGGGAUGAGGAGUGACAAAAGACCUGCAGCAGUGGCAAGCUAAGUGAGAAGGGGUAAAUGUCCCAUGGAAGUCACUUGGUAUGGUAAUGGCAGAAGAUCUCUGAAUGCAACAAGGUUUAGUGCUCAUUCUUAAGAAGUUUUGUGUAUUGUCCUAGAUAUUGAACAUUGCUGCUGCUCCCAAAACAUUCCUACUAACAAACAUCUUACAUAUGGACUGUUUGAGGUAUUGAGAUCAAAGAGAAUGACUUCUGUUUUGGGGACUGUGUGAGGAGUAGAGAAGAGACCAGGUGCCUUGAGAAAUACAGAAGGGAGAUGAAAAGGAAGGAGGCCUGAGUUUCUCAAACCCUGCACAUUCCCCAGAAAUGACUAUUUUCAGGACUGACUGUUGGCUAGUUCUUGGGAAGCAAAUGCUGAGUUUUGGAAUGUUCUGCCUGGGAAGAGUGUUUUUGUACGGCUGAGGCCUUACGCUGCAUGGCACCAGUUGAACAGCUUGUUAACGCUAGCAAUGUGAUUUAUGCUGAAUGCCUAAUUCUGCUCUGGAGAACUGGAAUCUGAGUAUCUGAGUUCAGCCAUAUAAAUGCUUCAGGUCUGCAGGACUGGCUCCCAAUAAGAACCCUGGACACAAAGGCUCAGGUGAGCUUCCUAGACACCAAUACUCAGGUGAGCUGUAUGGAAACUAACGCUCAGGUGAGCUUCCUGGACUCCAAGGCCCAGGUGAGCUUCCUGGACUCCAAGGUGCAGGUGAGCUUCCUGGACUCCAAGGCCAGGUGAUGUUCUGGACACUCAGGCUCAGACCUGCAGUGACCUGCUGCUACCAGAACUGACUCGCUUCAAAGUGAUGGAUGAAACCCAUAUGGAGAUAUUCCUGGGGUGGGUAGGCCAGUUGGAAGACAGAGUGUUUACACAUGAGAGAGGACUUGAGGAAAAGCAGUUGAAAUACCAUUAGUUAACAGAUUGCCCAAUGAAGUCGAUGACAACUGUGAUAAGAAAUUACUCACUAUCACAGCGUCUCCAAGAGAUGAACAGUGGAUGAUGCUUCCAAAGCACAGAUGUCCCUCUCCUCCUCAACCUUCUCUCCCCAGAAAGAUGUCAACACUGUGGAGAUUGUGCUAUGAAGAUACCUGGUGUGGCGUUGCAAUAGAUGAAAUAUUAAGGGCAAUUCAACAAUUUUCUGAACAAAUACAUGAAUUUAACUUGAAGUUGAAUUUAAUUUGACUUCAAGAAAAAUUAUAUUUCUGGUCCUCCUAUGAUCAUGUACUAAGAAUUAUUUAACUGCAGAUACAAUUGUUAUCUUUAGAGCUAGAAGGCCUCAUUUUAGAAUUAAAAUGAAUGGCAACCCAGACAGAUAAAGUCGAGUCGUGAUCAUCCCACUGCGGAGGCAGAGCCAGUGCUGGCCAUCCCCCGACCACCCCAACACACUCCAGGUCUCACACAUUUAAUCUCUCUCUCUGCCAAGGGAAUUUUUUCUUUCCAUUUAUUCUUAGAAACAACUAAGGGAGUUUUAAGUUAAAUACAUGCUGCCAAAUUGAAUCCAAGGAAACUAAAGUCAAAUAUAUUAGCAAACACUUAAUGUCCUCUCCAUUUUGACAUUUCUCCCUCAAUUCCUAUUUCUGAGUAAAGGCUGUUCAGAUGAAUAAAAACAUAUUUUCAGAAAUCUGAGCUCAUAAGACCUAUAGGCCUGUGAAGUCACAGACCGUGCACUGUCAGCAGUCAGCAAUUCUACUGGGUUGAAUUGGCAUGUUUCAAACUAUGUAUUUUUGUUAAAAAAAAAAAAAGGGUGUGUAAAUGCAUUUACAAAAUAAUUUGUACUCUUUCCCAGUAAUUUAUAGUUGCCUUCACAGCACCCAGUUCCUGAUUUCACACCAAGCCCUUGCUGAGGAUAUGAGAGUAAUAAAAAGGGGAGCCCUGGCUCUUCCUCUCCUUUAGUGUCUUCCCUGGAAGUGGACUGCGAGAAGAGCUUCUUCAGCCACCUUCUGCCUGCAGACAACCUCCAUGAGUUUGCUUUAGAAGAAGGCUUCAAUUUGAAGAAAGUCAAAUAAAACAAGAUAGACUAUCAUUCCCAUAGAUGCAAAAGAAGGUGAACCCAGAUUCAGAUCCUAAGUCAGCCAUUCUGCAGGGAACUCUUAGGUGUCCAGGUCAGAGGCUCUAUUCAAACUGCCUCGUCAAUAUUGGUUCCUCAGUUGUUGCAAAUAUACCACACUCAUGCACGUUGUUAAUAAUAAAAGGGGAACUGUAGAGGACGGGGUGGUGUAUAUGAGAACUCUGUACUUUCUGUGUAAUUUUUCUAUAAACCUAAAAUAGCUCUAAAAAUAAAGUUUAUUCAGAAACAAAAAAAUUAAUCAUCUAUCCUGAGUAAAUAUUAUAUAAGAUUUAUCUAAGUUUUUACCUACUUCUUCAAAUGUGCUGACCUUUACUGAAAAUCUUUUAUACGUUUUGAAUAUUCUUUUCACUCCAUUGAAACGCAGUCCUCCUGGUAAUUUUGUUUUGUACUGUAUACCCAGUGUAUUCUACAUCACCAAAAGCUUUAGAGUAAGUUUCCCAGCCUACCAACCCCACUAAAUGCCCACAUGCUGAAAGCAUAGUACAAUAGUCUCUUUAACAUCACAGGUUUCAACUGCACAGGUUCUUAUAUGUGGAUUUUUUUUUCAAUCAAUACAUUGGAACAAUUUUGGAGGUUUGCAACAAUUUUUAAAAACUCACAGAUGAAUUGUGUAGCCUAGAAAUAUUUUUACAAUUACAAAAUGUUAGAUAUGUUAUGAAUGCAUAAAAUAUACACAUUAAUCUAUUGUUUAUAUUAUCAGUAAGUCUUCCAGUCAGCAGUAGGAUAUUAGUGAUUCAGGUUUUGAGGAGUAAAAAUUUAUGCAUGGAUUUUUUUUUUCUAUGCAGAGGUUGGCUCCUUUAAUCCCCUGCUGUUCCAGGGUGACUUGUACACACUUAUUUCUCUCUCUCACACACUCACAUACACACACAUCCACACACAGGCACAUCCACAUUACCAGAGGCCACAUCAAAGAAACUUAAAUGGAAAAUCUCAGCAAAUGGUAUGAGGUGGGAUUCUAGGAUUUAUUUUAAAAAUAGUAUUGAAUGUUGUGUAUGUGAUAAUUCAAAGAA
Molecule: long non-coding RNA, 3221 nt
Organism: Pan troglodytes (chimpanzee)
Lineage: Eukaryota; Metazoa; Chordata; Mammalia; Primates; Hominidae
Exons: 3
Source: RefSeq, a predicted model, not a curated record